AAUCAAUCAUCCACAAAAUACACCAAACAUAUAGUUUCACGUCGUCUCGGACAAUACCAAAACAUCAACAAAUACAUUGUUCAGAUUAUGGUCAUGACGGAACCUGCGUUGUUCAUUUAAUAGUCAUGACGGACUCUGCUCCUCACAUACGGAUUAACAAUCAACAUUUACCAAGUAUGUGUCAAACAUCAUUUAUCAUAAAAUGCACACAAAAUCCCUAAUACAAUCUAAUGCUUCACAUUCAUGUUAUGUCCUCUAGACACCUCUAAUGCAUGUGGUACCAUCGUCUUUAUCAGGGUAUCUCACCUCCGAUAUCCGUCUUUAUCAAACAAAUAUAGUUCGAUAUCUUUCUUUAUUGGACAAGCCAAUAUCCCUAAAUAUUCAUGAUGCAUGCACUCAAAACUCAUGAAUAUAUACAUCAACAAUUAUGGCAUAUAGCCCAUCAACA
RNAcentral lists this long non-coding RNA (448 nucleotides) under Trifolium pratense (red clover). RNAcentral's name for it is "long non-coding RNA (TPRA_LNC004857)". Lineage: Eukaryota; Viridiplantae; Streptophyta; Magnoliopsida; Fabales; Fabaceae. The record is from RNAcentral.